RNAcentral lists this ribosomal RNA (462 nucleotides) under uncultured bacterium. RNAcentral describes it as "partial 16S ribosomal RNA". It matches the Rfam family "Bacterial small subunit ribosomal RNA", at positions 338 to 795 of the family's 1533-position model. The record is from RNAcentral.
CCUACGGUGGGCAGCAGUGAGGAAUAUUGGUCAAUGGACGCAAGUCUGAACCAGCCAAGUAGCGUGCAGGAUGACGGCCCUACGGGUUGUAAACUGCUUGUAGUUGGGAAUAAACGGGGGCUAGUGAGCCCCGUAUUGUAUGUACCAUCAGAAAAAGGACCGGCUAAUUCCGUGCCAGCAGCCGCGGUAAUACGGGAGGUCCGGGCGUUAUCCGGAUUUUAUGGGUUGAAAGGGAGCGUAGGAGGGCUUUUAAGUCAGCUGUGAAAUUCCGCGGCUCAACCGUGGAAUUGCAGUUGAAACUGGAGGCCUUGAGUGCACACAGGGAUGCCGGAAUUCAUGGUGUAGCGGUGAAAUGCUUAGAUAUCAUGAAGAACUCCGAUCGCGAAGGCAAGUGUCCGGGGUGCAACUGACGCUGAGGCUCGAAAGUGCGGGUAUCAAACAGGAUUAGAUACCCCAGUAGUC